CCCGCACAAGCGGUGGAGCACGUGGUUUAAUUCGAAGCAACGCGAAGAACCUUACCAGGUCUUGACGUCCCCUGACAACCCGAGAGAUCGGGCGUUCCCCUUCGGGGGACAGGGUGACAGGUGGUGCAUGGUUGUCGUCAGCUCGUGUCGUGAGAUGUUGGGUUAAGUCCCGCAACGAGCGCAACCCUCGACCUUAGUUGCCAGCAUUCAGCUGGGCACUCUAAGGUGACUGCCGGCUAAAAGUCGGAGGAAGGUGGGGAUGACGUCAAAUCAUCAUGCCCCUUAUGACCUGGGCUACACACGUGCUACAAUGGGCGGUACAAAGGGUCGCGAACCCGCGAGGGGGAGCCAAUCCCAAAAAGCCGCUCUCAGUUCGGAUUGCAGGCUGCAACUCGCCUGCAUGAAGCCGGAAUCGCUAGUAAUCGCGGAUCAGCAUGCCGCGGUGAAUACGUUCCCGGGCCUU
RNAcentral lists this ribosomal RNA (463 nucleotides) under uncultured Anoxybacillus sp. RNAcentral's name for it is "bacterial SSU rRNA". It matches the Rfam family "Bacterial small subunit ribosomal RNA", at positions 920 to 1382 of the family's 1533-position model. The record is from RNAcentral. Lineage: Bacteria; Bacillati; Bacillota; Bacilli; Caryophanales; Anoxybacillaceae.